This is a microRNA precursor of Monodelphis domestica (gray short-tailed opossum), 59 nucleotides long. The record is from Ensembl. Lineage: Eukaryota; Metazoa; Chordata; Mammalia; Didelphimorphia; Didelphidae.
UUCCAGCUCUGACAUUCUAUGAUCUACAUUCAUAGGAUCAAAGGAUUCAGAACUGGAUG